This 463-nucleotide ribosomal RNA is filed under the name uncultured Colwelliaceae bacterium. Its description in RNAcentral is "bacterial SSU rRNA". It matches the Rfam family "Bacterial small subunit ribosomal RNA", at positions 1072 to 1533 of the family's 1533-position model. The record is from RNAcentral. Lineage: Bacteria; Pseudomonadati; Pseudomonadota; Gammaproteobacteria; Alteromonadales; Colwelliaceae.
AUGUUGGGUAGUCCGCACGAGCGCACCCUUAUCCUUAUUUGCCAGCGCGUAGUGGCGGGAACUUUAAGGAGACUGCCGGUGAUAAACCGGAGGAAGGUGGGGACGACGUCAAGUCAUCAUGGCCCUUACGGGAUGGGCUACACACGUGCUACAAUGGCAGGUACAGAGGGCAGCAAUACCGCGAGGUGGAGCGAAUCCCACAAAGCUUGUCGUAGUCCGGAUUGGAGUCUGCAACUCGACUCCAUGAAGUCGGAAUCGCUAGUAAUCGUAGAUCAGAAUGCUACGGUGAAUACGUUCCCGGGCCUUGUACACACCGCCCGUCACACCAUGGGAGUGGGAUGCAAAAGAAGUGGCUAGUUUAACCUUUCGGGGAGGACGGUCACCACUUUGUGUGUCAUGACUGGGGUGAAGUCGUAACAAGGUAACCCUAGGGGAACCUGGGGUUGGAUCACCUCCUUAUCUU